RNAcentral lists this ribosomal RNA (492 nucleotides) under uncultured bacterium. Its description in RNAcentral is "partial 16S ribosomal RNA". It matches the Rfam family "Bacterial small subunit ribosomal RNA", at positions 29 to 507 of the family's 1533-position model. The record is from RNAcentral.
AUUGAACGCUGGCGGCAUGCUUUACACAUGCCAGUCGAACGGUAACAGGCCUUCGGGUGCUGACGAGUGGCGAACGGGUGAGUAAUGCAUCGGAACGUACCCAGAGGUGGGGGAUAACGCAGCGAAAGCUGUGCUAAUACCGCAUGUGAUCUGAGGAUGAAAGCGGGGGACCGAGCAGCAAUGUUUGGCCUCGCGCCUUUGGAGCGGCCGAUGUCGGAUUAGCUAGUUGGUGGGGUAAAGGCCUACCAAGGCGACGAUCCGUAGCUGGUCUGUGAGGACGGCCAGCCACACUGGGACGGAGACACGGCCCAGACUCCUACGGGAGGCAGCAGUGGGGAAUGUUGGACAAUGGGCGCAAGCCUGAUCCAGCAAUGCCGAGUGCGGGAAGAAGGCCUUCGGGUUGUAAACCGCUUUUGGCAGGAACGAAACGGUGUCCGCUAAUACCGGGCGCUAAUGACGGUACCUGCAGAAUAAGCACCGGCUAACUACGUG